This 370-nucleotide ribosomal RNA is filed under the name uncultured eukaryote. RNAcentral's name for it is "partial 18S ribosomal RNA". It matches the Rfam family "Eukaryotic small subunit ribosomal RNA", at positions 592 to 976 of the family's 1831-position model. The record is from RNAcentral.
CAAUAGCGUAUAUUAAAGUUGUUGCGGUUAAAAAGCUCGUAGUUGGACCUUGGGCCUGGACGGGCGGUCCGCCUCACGGCGUGUACUGUCUUGCCGGGCCUUUCCUCUUGGUGAUCUGUUGUUUCGGCAGCAGGGAACCAGGACCUUUACUUUGAAAAAAUUAGAGUGUUCAAAGCAGGCUCGACGCCGGAAUAUAUUAGCAUGGAAUAAUAAAAUAGGACGUGCGGUUCUAUUUUGUUGGUUUUUGGAAUCGCCGUAAUGAUUAAUAGGGACAGUCGGGGGCAUUAGUACUCACAUGCUAGAGGUGAAAUUCUUGGAUUUUGUGAAGACUAACUUCUGCGAAAGCAUUUGCCAAGGAUGUUUUCAUUAA